Molecule: transfer RNA, 73 nt
Filed under: Fasciola hepatica (liver fluke)
Lineage: Eukaryota; Metazoa; Platyhelminthes; Trematoda; Plagiorchiida; Fasciolidae
Rfam family: tRNA
About the family: Transfer RNA (tRNA) molecules are approximately 80 nucleotides in length. Their secondary structure includes four short double-helical elements and three loops (D, anti-codon, and T loops).
Source: Rfam by way of RNAcentral
ACGGCGAUAGCUCAGCUGGUAGAGCAUCUGCCAGGUAUGCGGAGGGUCGCCGGUUCGGCUCCGGCUCGCAGCU